Molecule: ribosomal RNA, 171 nt
Filed under: Enterobacter hormaechei subsp. xiangfangensis
Lineage: Bacteria; Pseudomonadati; Pseudomonadota; Gammaproteobacteria; Enterobacterales; Enterobacteriaceae
Description: partial 16S ribosomal RNA
Rfam family: Bacterial small subunit ribosomal RNA
Source: RNAcentral
UUAAAUUGAAGAGUUUGAUCAUGGCUCAGAUUGAACGCUGGCGGCAGGCCUAACACAUGCAAGUCGAACGGUAACAGGAAGCAGCUUGCUGCUUCGCUGACGAGUGGCGGACGGGUGAGUAAUGUCUGGGAAACUGCCUGAUGGAGGGGGAUAACUACUGGAAACGGUAGC